RNAcentral lists this ribosomal RNA (637 nucleotides) under Danacea nigritarsis. Its description in RNAcentral is "eukaryotic LSU rRNA". It matches the Rfam family "Eukaryotic large subunit ribosomal RNA", at positions 670 to 1262 of the family's 3401-position model. Lineage: Eukaryota; Metazoa; Arthropoda; Insecta; Coleoptera; Melyridae. The record is from RNAcentral.
GGAGUCUAGCAUGUGCGCGAGUCAUUGGGACACGACUAAACCUAAAGGCGCAAUGAAAGUGAAGGCCCGCCUCGCGCGGGCCGAGGGAAGACGGGCGAAGCGCGUCAGCGCCCGCCCCGCAUUCCCGGGGCGUCUCGUUCUCAUCGCGAGAAGAGGCGCACCAAGAGCGUACACGCUGGGACCCGAAAGAUGGUGAACUAUGCCUGGUCAGGACGAAGUCAGGGGAAACCCUGAUGGAGGUCCGUAGCGAUUCUGACGUGCAAAUCGAUCGUCGGAACUGGGUAUAGGGGCGAAAGACUAAUCGAACCAUCUAGUAGCUGGUUCCCUCCGAAGUUUCCCUCAGGAUAGCUGGCGCUCGUCGCCAACGAGUCUCAUCCGGUAAAGCGAAUGAUUAGAGGCAUUGGGGCCGAAACGGCCUCAACCUAUUCUCAAACUUUAAAUGGGUGAGAUCUCCGGCUUGCUCGAACCGAUGAAGCCGCGAGACACGGAUCAGAGUGCCAAGUGGGCCAUUUUUGGUAAGCAGAACUGGCGCUGUGGGAUGAACCAAACGCCGAGUUAAAGCGCCUAAAUCGACGCUUAUGGGAUACCAUGAAAGGCGUUGGUAACUUAAGACAGCAGGACGGUGGCCAUGGAAGUC